ACGAACACAGGGUUGGGAGCUGACAGGAGGCAAGAGCGAGCAAGGACGGAAACUCCAGGGCCAUUUUUAAAGGGGCCAGGCAAUCAUGCUCCACCAAUCAGCAACCUGCAACAGACGGACACAAAAAGGCACAGCACACCGACAGGACGGGGGGAGAACACACACACUAAACAGAAAACACAUACAUGUAAAUAGACAAAUUAUGACCCAGGGUCAUAACACAGGGAAGCGCUAAAGAUCACCAUGGUUACAGGUCUGCCACAACUGCAGAUCAUAAUUUCUGUUUCAUCCUUGAUUAUUGAGGACGUUCCAAAGUGUAACCACAGAUAUCCAUAGGAUUUCCAUGGAUUUUUGGCCUGGAUGUUCUUAAAACUCCAGGCAAGUAUAUUUAUUUAUUUAUUUAUUCAAAGACUGUAAAAUCAGAGACAAUGCUUUGAUUUUAGCUCCGUCCCGUUUUUUUCUUUUUUUUCUUUUACAGUAUAAAGUAUUAGUUCCUACUGUAGCAGCACAGGCACAUCUGUCAUCCAAACUGGACCUGUAGGCGAUAACGUGAAGGAAUCUUAUUGCAUAGUGCACAGUCUUCUUUUUUCAUUUAUGUUUGUGAUCCAAACCCUGGAUUUCACUGUCCCAAGAGAUUCCAACUUAGCUGUGUACUAAAGGAAGACCUACCUCUGUCCUAAAUGAAGACCUACCUCUGUCCUGAAGGAAGGCCUACCUCUGUCCUGAAGGCCUACCUCUGUCCUAAAUGAAGACCUACCUCUGUCCUAAAGGCCUACCUCUGUCCUAAAGGAAGACCUUCCUCUCAUCUGUAAUAAUUGUAUUUUCCUUUGACAAGAGAAAGCAAGUUUUUUUUGAAUGGAUAAUAUAAUGUAAUGUGAGUUGUUUUAAGUUGAAACUUGAUGUUUUUCUAAAGCAGAAACGUGUGUUUGUUGAACUAGCUAAGUCUAGUUUUUUUUGUACUGAUAAUAUAAAAUAAAUAUUUGUUUUAACUCAGUACUAAGUUGUAACAAGUGAUUAAUAGUUGAAUCAACUUUCAUAACUUUGGAAAGACAGUUGGGACGAGAACAUUGUAGUGAAGUCACCUUUAUGAACGUCAGUAUCUGAGUUUAAACAGUGGUAUUAUUCAAGUUAACUCCCAUUUUCAAGGCAGCAGGUGAACUUUCAUUUGCAAGAUGAACCAACUUGAAGUGUCUUCCAGCGUACAUGGAUGCUGAUCCAAUGAGAUUAAAGCUUUUAAUCAGAAUGGGUACAGUUACAUGAUGUUUUUUUAAAUCUGAUUUAUUUUUCAAGAAGAAAUUAAUCCGGAACUGAAGUA
Long non-coding RNA from Sphaeramia orbicularis (orbiculate cardinalfish), 1315 nucleotides. RefSeq lists it as uncharacterized. The record is from RefSeq and is a predicted model, not a curated record. NCBI's taxonomy places the organism in Eukaryota, Metazoa, Chordata, Actinopteri, Kurtiformes, Apogonidae. The transcript has 3 exons.